GAUGAACGCUGGCGGCGUGCCUAAUACAUGCAAGUCGAGCGAACGGACGAGAAGCUUGCUUUUCUGAUGUUAGCGGCGGACGGGUGAGUAACACGUGGAUAACCUACCUAUAAGACUGGGAUAACUUCGGGAAACCGGAGCUAAUACCGGAUAAUAUUUUGAACCGCAUGGUUCAAAAGUGAAAGACGGUCUUGCUGUCACUUAUAGAUGGAUCCGCGCUGCAUUAGCUAGUUGGUAAGGUAACGGCUUACCAAGGCAACGAUGCAUAGCCGACCUGGGAGGGUGAUCGACCACACUGGAACUGAGACACGGUCCAGACUCCUACGGGAGGCAGCAGUAGGGAAUCUUGCGCAAUGGGCGAAAGCCUGACGGAGCAACGCCGCGUGAGUGAUGAAGGUCUUCGGAUCGUAAAACUCUGUUAUUAGGGAAGAACAGAUGUGUAAGUAACUGUGCACAUCUUGACGGUACCUAAUCAGAAAGCCACGGCUAACUACGUG
Molecule: ribosomal RNA, 497 nt
Filed under: uncultured bacterium
Lineage: Bacteria
Description: partial 16S ribosomal RNA
Rfam family: Bacterial small subunit ribosomal RNA
Source: RNAcentral